Phalacrocorax carbo (great cormorant) is the source of this 6128-nucleotide non-coding RNA. The record is from RefSeq and is a predicted model, not a curated record. NCBI's taxonomy places the organism in Eukaryota, Metazoa, Chordata, Aves, Suliformes, Phalacrocoracidae.
UUUUUUUUUUUUUUUUUUUGGUGGGGAGGGGGGUGUUAUGUUUGCGAUCUCUGCCUUGGUACCUAAGGAGGAAGAGGAGGAGGAGGAGGGUGUGUUAUUGAAUGGUGGCUAAAGCCUCCUCGGGACGGCGCUGAGGUGAAACAGGCUGAACCCGACUGAUGUGCCUCCUCUCUCGGUUGGACCCAGUGCCCUAAGCAGCCGAUGAGAGACCCCCGGCCGCCCGGCUCGCAGGUGGCACACACGAAGUGAACAGAAUGGGCCCGAUCCCACCAGCCCCUUCUUGAGAAGCCUUCAAAAAUUAUUAAAUCACACCUGAUCCAGUUAAUAAUGAAGUUAACUACUAGCAGGUACCUUUCUAAUGCUGAAAUGGGCAUACUAAUUGUGAACCGUGCGGUAAGAAGCUCCUUCUAAAAUAUGCAGUAGCUUAUUUACUGGAAUUUAACAGGCUGUGUACUUUAAAGCUUCUUUUGCCUGUAAUCACGUGAACAAACCUUACAAGUCAUAUUGCCAGCUCAAGAUUCGGCACAGUAACAGCAGCGCUGAAGCAGCCCUCGCCAUUAAGCAAGGUACAGAAGGGAGCUGGUGACCUGCGACAGGAUGACAGACCUUGCUUACCAGGAUUUGCUCACGGUUAUGUUUCUGGCAACUGACAUUUCCAUUUUAUUCAAAGCUUCUACAUCUGUGUCAUCAGGCAAAGCCCCAUGAGUCGUGGCAGAGCAAACUGUAGCCUUCAUUUUCAAGUUUGAAGAGAAAAAAAUAUUUACAUGCCUAAAUCCCAGAACCUGCUGUUCAGAGGUCAUUCUUUGUUACCCACUGCUUUAAACCAUUAAGGUUUCCAAAAGCUCUAUAAAGAAAUGGGACUUAGUUUGGGGCAGAAAAAGUCGUAUUAUUUUAAUUUUGUUUAGUUUCUUUUUUAUUGUAUCAUCUGAUUUUUGUCCUACCAGAGGAACAUGGAAGAUAGGCUGUUUCUGUCAUUGCUUACAAUGAAUGAUUGCAAGACAAAUCUCUGACCCUUCUUAAGACUGCUAUAAUCUGAAGAAGAAUGUCUUUUAAUUGGUUAGGAUUUCAGAGUUUAUUUUGUAAGGAAAAUUAUUGAUUCAUGCGAUGACUACUCCUUUACUGUUUUAUCACACUUCCAGCUCAGUAUUUCUUAUAUUCUUUUGGUUAUGAAUUUAGGCAAAUGUUUAGCUACUUGUUUUAAUGUUGCACUUCUUUUUUUUUUUUACUGUUUUAGACAUGUUUUCCUGAAUCAGAUCCUUGAAUUUAGUGACAAUUAGUACGAUUUCCAGAAAUGGACUGUCAUCAGUAAGAGUGUUGUGUACCAAGAUGUGUGAAUGUAGAUGUUAAGGGGGAGCACAAAUAAUGACUUUUUUUUUCCAUACACGGAGCAAGCACUAAGGAGUCAAGGUUAUUCACAGAAAUGAAUAAAUGCAGCCUGGAAAGGUAUUUAUUUUCCAAACUGCAAGAGGAUCUCAGAAACAAUAAGGAUAACAUAAAACCAAACUUCUAAAGAAUUUGAUUAUUUUUCUUAAAAAAAUAAUUGGAAAUAAAAAAAAAAGGGGGUUCGUAGGGAAGAAAAUCUUCAGGCAGGGAAAAAAACCAGUUGUCUGACACAGUGUUUAGAGCAGAUUGAAGGAAUAAUUCCAGGCACUGUUCUUUGCUGUUAUUGCAGAAGUGUGUAGGGCAUUUUAUCUGUCUUAGUUGCCCUAUGUGUAAAUAGAAGAUGAUAAUACCCACUUCUACCUAAUGUUGUGCAAUCUUUAGUUGCUUCACAGUGCAACAAAGAAGUGCUUCUUAGUGUAAUUAAAAAUUGCCUGUUGGACCUCAUGCUUUUGAGAUAAAAGACAGUUUGGGCUACACAUCCUGUAAGAGUUGAUUCAUUAAGUUUUUGUGAGGUGUUUUUCUUUUUCUUUUUUUUUGUUGUUUUUACCUGCUUAAUGGACUGUCUUUUGGUACCAUCUCUGGAAUAUGCAGGUCUCUGGACACUGAUAGAAGGGUGGGUUGCUGUGAAUAAGAAAGCCUUUUAGGCGUUCUGUCGUCCUCACAAAAACAUACCUAGCAUUAGAAUGGGCAUGUUUCAUAUUUCAGUUACUAAACUUUCAGGGACAUCUUUGACUAACAGCUCAAGGCGGUUAGUCAGGAACCGCCUUGUAAGUAAGGAAGACCCCUUACCUUAAGACCAAUUCAGAUUAGGUCAUACCAUGGUAUGAAAAGUAAUAUGCAAAUGCCAUGGCUUUUCCCAUUAAACAAGCAGGCUGAUUUCAUUAGUAUUUCAUGAAAGAACAAGACAAAAAAAGACUUGGAUUGUUGUGAAUCUCCUGUAGAGAAUUUUGGUGACAGAACUGUCGCCAUAUGGCUGUACAUAUUUCAUGCUACAUGAAAGGAAAUUAGUGGAACUCGUAGAAAACCUAUAUAAAAGUAAAAUAUAACAAGCAGUUUCUCCAAAGAUUAUACUGGCAGUACUGAUGGUGUCUACUCUGACGAUAGGCGUGGAGUGUGCUCAGGGUGGUGUGUCUCCUGACCCCCGCCCUGUGUUGCCAUUCUUUAGCUCUGCUCAAGACUGAGCUGUUAGGCCUGCCAACAGCCUGGAUUGCUCAACCCAUCUGUCCUGGCAACAGGCAACCUCAGGGCUCUCCUAGGAUGUGUGAUGUAUUGCCAGAAAGGUGAAUGGCUGGUUGUCACUGCAGACCUAUGCAAGGGGACUGUGUGCACCUGAGAUUUCUUCUCUUGCAUAUCCUAAACUAUGUCCUAGGCUUGACCCUGAGUGUGGCUUUAUGGUCUGACAACCAGCCUUGAAGUGUGCUCUGGCCUUGAACACAGGUCCAAGUUCAAAAGGCUAGAGACAUUAAAAAAAAUUUCAUUCUUGUUUGAAACUUCCAGUAUUUUGUGUGGGAAAGAAAACUAACUAACCAAAUACAGAUGCAAAAUGGUAUAUCAGAACAUCAAAAUUGGGAAUGCAACAUUUUGCUUUUCAGAUUAUCAAUGAAGUGACAAAGCUGUCUCUUACCUGCUGCUUUGACAGUGGUAGGCACCAGCUCACAGCUGAAGCACAGGUGUAUGAAAUGCCAGUCAUAUCACUGACACAUGCUCACCAGAUGCCACCAAAGGUAUCAGGCCCUACUGAAAAAUAAGAAUCCAUCAUUAUUAUAUCAUACAAAGGAUUGUUGGUAAAUUAAAGAUUAAAAUAGAGAUUAACCCUUGAGAAUAGCCUUUCAUUUAUUAUCUGUCUUUAAAUCUGGAGUGGCUUAAACAUAUAGGGGCAUCUUUUGGGCUUAUGUUUUAAUUGUGAAAAUGGCUAAUUUAUGUAUGGUUUAUUCAUGUUGCUAUUUUGAGUUACUUUAAUUGCAGUACUUACGUAAGUUCAGGAAGCAGAAUUUCAUUCCAUCUGGUGAUUACUUAUUUACUUACAUUAAUCAUGCAGUCAGAAAACAUAGAAUUAAAUAACUACUGAAAACUUGAACAUACUAGGGAAAUUAGUGUGACUAAACAUGUUCAUACAGAACCUGAAAAUUUCAACACACUUUAAUAAAUUAAUGUAGGAAACAAACAGCUACAAAUGCUGUGAUUUCCCUAAGAAACCUAUUUUUUUUACUAUUUCAACUGGCUUAUAUAUCAAGAGUAGAUGUACAUAAGACUGCUUUUGAAACUAUUUACAUUUUAUUAUUUUUUUGAAUUCCUGUAUUAUAUGUACUUACCAAGACUGAAGCUGUUUACUUUCACUCCACUGUGAAUCUCUAACCCAAGUUAAAUACUUUAGGAGACCUAGUAUGUUAACUUAGGGAUCAAAAAAUAUGUUUCCACUUGGUCGUAUUAGGUCUGGCAGUAAAAUAUUUUCAGACUUUAAGCAGACGUAUGACUCACCUGAGGAAGAGGUAUGUUAAACCGUUUACAAGUUGGACACUUUCCAGGUCAUGAGUCUUAACAUUCUGAUAUCUUUAAAAUCCACUAAGGUGACCUACAGACCGUUACCCUCUAGCAGAUAAUUACUCAGGAGCCUCUCCUAAAUCAACAGCAAGCCUACAAGUGGACCUCUGUACAGUGUGACAUGACCAUUCUGUCUCCUGUCCUAGGCAUGGAAGCCAUUUUGUAUUCUUAAUAAUUUAGUUUGCCUCAUAUACUGAAACUCAGAGUGAUUUAUACUGGCACAGCGUAUCAGAUUACAUCACAAAAAAGUGGUUUUGCUGUAUCGUUACGGACGUUUAGCCUAUGCAAACAACAGGUUGCAAUGCUAUUCUCUUAAAACUCCAGUGGUAUGUGAAUGUGCACAUGUGCACAGCAGAUCACUAGUUAUUGCAGUAAAGGCAGUCUCUGCUUCUGCUAUAUAUUUUCCCAACUGAUACGCUUUUUUUUUUUGAGGUUGUCAUAUGGUAUAACACUUUUACUAGUUGACUCCUCCCACUUUUCUUCAAACCACAUCCUGAUUUUUGGCCUCAGAAACCAAACAUAUGCACAACUUGCAGAACAACACAUGAUAUUGUUUCUGUAUAACAUCAUACCAGCUGGGAUAUAAAUUCUUACAGACAAUUUUAUGCGAAUGAAAAAUACCUACAUUAAGACAUUUUCCAUAGUUAUGCAAUACAUACCACAGUAGAGCAUAUGGUCUAGAGUCAGACAUCCUCACUUAGAAUUAUAACAAAAGCCCCAAGUCAGGCCUCAGACCUUCAGACAAUGUAAUUUUGAAUAGAUCAUUCUAUUUUCUCUCUAUUUUAUUUCUUCCUUUUUUCUAUUCUGUUUUGGAUUUCUGAAAUUGAACAUCAGCUAGUUUGCUGGUAUGUUGAAGACCCUUAAAUUUUAUCUAUUUGAUUUAUUGGGUGUCAAGUCCAAUAAAAUUAUUAUUUAACUAAAGAACAGCUAAUAUUUGGUGAAAUUCUAACUUAUAUCAUGAUCUGAAGACGCACCAAUAGGAAGAAUUCAUCAGGUUUUGGGCAAUUUAUUUCAACAUUUAUUUUCAGUAUUAUAAAACGGUUUUGUUUCUGAUUUGUCGGUCCUCAGCUUCCAGAUUUUUUUUUCCCUUUUGGGGAGUGUUGUGGAGCGGGUGGGGUGGUUGUUAUGUUAUUGUCCCUUCAGGAUAAAGAGUCUUUGCACAUGAGUGUUUUCUCCCAUGAUCUGUAAACUUUAAUCAAUUCACCCUCAACCCUCCUUUUUGAUAAUGAAAUGGACUGAGUUUAUACUUUCACAGCAAAUAAUUUUCUCCUGCUUUCAAAUUAAUUUUGAAUGUAAUUUUGUGAACUCUCCAUUUUUUUCCACCACCCAUUAAAAUAUGGACAGCAGAUCUAUGGGAAUUAUUCCAACAAUUGCAUCAGGAUUCAAGGAUUACAUUAGCUCUGUUCAUGCAGCUUCACAGUGGGAGCUCAUGUUGAGUUGCUGGUCCACUAUGGCCCAUAAAUCCUUGCAGAGUCAAGGCAUUCAAAGGCACUGUACCCCAUUUUUUGGGGUGAAAUUCCUUUGUAUUGAUGUAUAACUUUGCAUUCAUCUCUCCUAAUAUUAAUUUUUUCAGUGGGUCUAGCUUGUCAAGAGCUCUCUUCCUUGAUCUCAUCAUUAUGUACUACUCAAGUAAUCUUUCCGUCAUCCUCAGGUCCUUAACAUGGUAAUUUUUAUAUACACCUCCAGAUCACUGCUGGGAAUACUGAAUAGCAUUGGGCCUAGUGCUGAUCCCUGCUGGGUACCAUUAGAAACAAUUCAGUAAUAAUUUUCUUUUUAAGGUAUCUUUUUAUGAUCUGCUGAACACUGACGCUAUGUAGUAGAUAUUUUUCUUAAUAAAGAUAUCAUGCAGUAUUACAAAAUUUCAUUCUGCAUUUAUCAAUUAGAUCAACAGAAUAUAAGCACCCCAUAGACAGGUGGAAAGAAUUGGUUGACCAUGUAGCAAACAAAACUCCCAGGAUUAAUAUUCUUCAAUUUUCUCUGCACAUGUAACUUCAUUUCACCUUUUCAAAACACUUCAUAUCUAAAUAAUACUGUUCAUGUUUCAGAACUGGAGGGAUUCUGGUUUGCCUGACAUAUCUACCUUAAUAUGUGUAGGGGCUUUCUGAAUUUAUUGAAAUUGCCUUUGGGAAGCUUACAAAACUGAUGCCAGACACUGGAGCAUGCACUUUCUUCAGUUGUUUUUAACACAUUUUGCUAACAGUUUA